Molecule: ribosomal RNA, 484 nt
Filed under: uncultured bacterium
Lineage: Bacteria
Description: bacterial SSU rRNA
Rfam family: Bacterial small subunit ribosomal RNA
Source: RNAcentral
AAUCAACGCUGGCGGCGUGCCUCAGACAUGCAAGUCGAACGAGAACCUCCCUUCGGGGAGGGGACAGUGGCGCACGGGUGAGUAACACGUGGGUAAUUUACCUUUGGGUGGGGAACAACAGCCGGAAACGGCUGCUAAUACCGCAUAAUGCAGCGGCUCGACAUCGAGACAGUUGUUAAAGCGGGGGAUCGCAAGACCUCGCGCCUGAAGAGAAGCCUGCGGCGGAUUAGCAGUUGGUAGGGUAAUGCCUACCAAGGCGACGAUCUGUAACCGGCCUGAGAGGGCGGUCGGUCACACUGACACUGACAUACGGGUCAGACUCCUACGGGAGGCAGCAGUCGGGAAUUUUGGGCAAUGGGCGAAAGCCUGACCCAGCAACGCCGCGUGAAGGAAUGAAGCUUUUCGGUAGGUGUAAAACUUCAUAAAGAAUGGGAAGAAUAAGUGGCGGAUAAUACCCUUCACGAUGACGGUACCUAUUUGUAAG